UGAGGAAUUCAAUUAGGCAAAAUUAAGGCUCUAUUCAUGAAGGAUAUUGUUAUACACAAGUAUUUAAGUCCUGUGCAUCUUCAGCAUUUGAAGAUUUACAAUUAUAACAUGCCACACUUGUAUUUAUUAUUUGAAUUAAAUAAACUAAAAGAGAAGUCAUAAAACACUACAAGAAUAAGAUGAUAAGUGAAGCAUUAGCAUUGCUUAUAUGAGUCAUGUAUCUG
This 224-nucleotide unclassified non-coding RNA is filed under the name Hevea brasiliensis (rubber tree). The record is from RNAcentral. Lineage: Eukaryota; Viridiplantae; Streptophyta; Magnoliopsida; Malpighiales; Euphorbiaceae.